RNAcentral lists this ribosomal RNA (497 nucleotides) under uncultured bacterium. Its description in RNAcentral is "partial 16S ribosomal RNA". It matches the Rfam family "Bacterial small subunit ribosomal RNA", at positions 28 to 507 of the family's 1533-position model. The record is from RNAcentral.
GACGAACGCUGGCGGCGUGCCUAAUACAUGCAAGUUGAGCGCUGAAGGUUGGUACUUGUACCAACUGGAUGAGCAGCGAACGGGUGAGUAACGCGUGGGGAAUCUGCCCUUGAGCGGGGGACAACAUUUGGAAACGAAUGCUAAUACCGCAUAAAAACUUUAAACACAAGUUUUAAGUUUGAAAGAUGCAAUUGCAUCACUCAAAGAUGAUCCCGCGUUGUAUUAGCUAGUUGGUGAGGUAAAGACUCACCAAGGCGAUGAUACAUAGCCGACCUGAGAGGGUGAUCGGCCAAAUUGGGACUGAGACACGGCCCAAACUCCUACGGGAGGCAGCAGUAGGGAAUCUUCGGCAAUGGACGAAAGUCUGACCGAGCAACGCCGCGUGAGUGAAGAAGGUUUUCGGAUCGUAAAACUCUGUUGGUAGAGAAGAACGUUGGUGAGAGUGGAAAGCUCAUCAAGUGACGGUAACUACCCAGAAAGGGACGGCUAACUACGUG